RNAcentral lists this ribosomal RNA (540 nucleotides) under uncultured bacterium. RNAcentral describes it as "bacterial SSU rRNA". It matches the Rfam family "Bacterial small subunit ribosomal RNA", at positions 355 to 896 of the family's 1533-position model. The record is from RNAcentral.
UGAGGAAUAUUGGUCAAUGGACGCAAGUCUGAACCAGCCAAGUAGCGUGCAGGAUGACGGCCCUAUGGGUUGUAAACUGCUUUUAUAUGGGGAUAAAGUGGGGAACGUGUUCCCUUUUGCAGGUACCAUAUGAAUAAGGACCGGCUAAUUCCGUGCCAGCAGCCGCGGUAAUACGGAAGGUUCGGGCGUUAUCCGGAUUUAUUGGGUUUAAAGGGAGCGUAGGCCGUUUGGUAAGCGUGUUGUGAAAUGUAGGAGCUCAACUUCUAGAUUGCAGCGCGAACUGUCAGACUUGAGUGCGCACAACGUAGGCGGAAUUCAUGGUGUAGCGGUGAAAUGCUUAGAUAUCAUGAAGAACUCCGAUUGCGAAGGCAGCUUACGGGAGCGCAACUGACGUUGAAGCUCGAAGGUGCGGGUAUCGAACAGGAUUAGAUACCCUGGUAGUCCGCACAGUAAACGAUGGAUGCCCGCUGUUAGCACCUAGUGUUAGCGGCUAAGCGAAAGCAUUAAGCAUCCCACCUGGGGAGUACGCCGGCAACGGUG